UGGAAUUGCUAGUAAUCACAGGUCAGCAUACUGUGGUGAAUACGUUCCCGGGCCUUGUACACACCGCCCGUCACACCAUGAGAGUUGAGAAUACCCGAAGCCCAUGUCAAAGUGGUCGAAGGUAGGCUUGAUGAUUGGGGUGAAGUCGUAACAAGGUACC
Molecule: ribosomal RNA, 160 nt
Filed under: uncultured bacterium
Lineage: Bacteria
Description: partial 16S ribosomal RNA
Rfam family: Bacterial small subunit ribosomal RNA
Source: RNAcentral